AGAUUGAACGCUGGCGGCAGGCCUAACACAUGCAAGUCGAGCGGUAGAGAGGUGCUUGCAUCUCUUGAGAGCGGCGGACGGGUGAGUAAUGCCUAGGAAUCUGCCUAGUGGUGGGGGAUAACGUUCGGAAACGGACGCUAAUACCGCAUACGUCCUACGGGAGAAAGCGGGGGACCUUCGGGCCUCGCGCCAUUAGAUGAGCCUAGGUCGGAUUAGCUAGUUGGUGAGGUAAUGGCUCACCAAGGCGACGAUCCGUAACUGGUCUGAGAGGAUGAUCAGUCACACUGGAACUGAGACACGGUCCAGACUCCUACGGGAGCAGCAGGUGGGAAUAUUGGACAAGU
This 344-nucleotide ribosomal RNA is filed under the name uncultured soil bacterium. RNAcentral describes it as "bacterial SSU rRNA". It matches the Rfam family "Bacterial small subunit ribosomal RNA", at positions 26 to 373 of the family's 1533-position model. The record is from RNAcentral.